CCUACGGGAGGCAGCAGUGAGGAAUAUUGGUCAAUGGGCGCGAGCCUGAACCAGCCAAGCAGCGUGAAGGAUGACUGCCCUACGGGUUGUAAACUUCUUUUAUAAAGGAAUAAAGUGCGGCACGUGUGCCUUUCUGCGUGUAUUCUAUGAAUAAGGAUCGGCUAACUCCGUGCCAGCAGCCGCGGUAAUACGGAGGAUCCGAGCGUUAUCCGGAUUUAUUGGGUUUAAAGGGAGCGUAGAUGGGUUGUUAAGUCAGUUGUGAAAGUUUGCGGCUCAACCGUAAAAUUGCAAUUGAUACUGGCAACCUUGAGGACAGUUGAGGUAGGCGGAAAUCGUGGUG
RNAcentral lists this ribosomal RNA (340 nucleotides) under uncultured bacterium. RNAcentral's name for it is "partial 16S ribosomal RNA". It matches the Rfam family "Bacterial small subunit ribosomal RNA", at positions 338 to 675 of the family's 1533-position model. The record is from RNAcentral.